Molecule: ribosomal RNA, 1455 nt
Filed under: actinobacterium K21
Lineage: Bacteria; Bacillati; Actinomycetota; Actinomycetes
Description: bacterial SSU rRNA
Rfam family: Bacterial small subunit ribosomal RNA
Source: RNAcentral
GAUGGCGGGUGCUUACCAUGCAGUCGAACGGUGAAGCCAAGCUUGCUUGGUGGAUCAGUGGCGAACGGGUGAGUAACACGUGAGCAACCUGCCCUGAACUCUGGGAUAAGCGCUGGAAACGGCGUCUAAUACUGGAUAUGAGCUGCGGAGGCAUCUUCGUGGUUGGAAAGAUUUUUCGGUUUGGGAUGGGCUCGCGGCCUAUCAGCUUGUUGGUGAGGUAAUGGCUCACCAAGGCGUCGACGGGUAGCCGGCCUGAGAGGGUGACCGGCCACACUGGGACUGAGACACGGCCCAGACUCCUACGGGAGGCAGCAGUGGGGAAUAUUGCACAAUGGGCGGAAGCCUGAUGCAGCAACGCCGCGUGAGGGAUGACGGCCUUCGGGUUGUAAACCUCUUUUAGCAGGGAAGAAGCGAAAGUGACGGUACCUGCAGAAAAAGCGCCGGCUAACUACGUGCCAGCAGCCGCGGUAAUACGUAGGGCGCAAGCGUUAUCCGGAAUUAUUGGGCGUAAAGAGCUCGUAGGCGGUUUGUCGCGUCUGCUGUGAAAACCCGAGGCUCAACCUCGGGCCUGCAGUGGGUACGGGCAGACUAGAGUGCGGUAGGGGAGAUUGGAAUUCCUGGUGUAGCGGUGGAAUGCGCAGAUAUCAGGAGGAACACCGAUGGCGAAGGCAGAUCUCUGGGCCGUAACUGACGCUGAGGAGCGAAAGGGUGGGGAGCAAACAGGCUUAGAUACCCUGGUAGUCCACCCCGUAAACGUUGGGAACUAGUUGUGGGGUCCAUUCCACGGAUUCCGUGACGCAGCUAACGCAUUAAGUUCCCCGCCUGGGGAGUACGGCCGCAAGGCUAAAACUCAAAGGAAUUGACGGGGACCCGCACAAGCGGCGGAGCAUGCGGAUUAAUUCGACGCAACGCGAAGAACCUUACCAAGGCUUGACAUACACGAGAACGCUGCAGAAAUGUAGAACUCUUUGGACACUCGUGAACAGGUGGUGCAUGGUUGUCGUCAGCUCGUGUCGUGAGAUGUUGGGUUAAGUCCCGCAACGAGCGCAACCCUCGUUCUAUGUUGCCAGCACGUAAUGGUGGGAACUCAUGGGAUACUGCCGGGGUCAACUCGGAGGAAGGUGGGGAUGACGUCAAAUCAUCAUGCCCCUUAUGUCUUGGGCUUCACGCAUGCUACAAUGGCCGGUACAAAGGGCUGCAAUACCGCGAGGUGGAGCGAAUCCCAAAAAGCCGGUCCCAGUUCGGAUUGAGGUCUGCAACUCGACCUCAUGAAGUCGGAGUCGCUAGUAAUCGCAGAUCAGCAACGCUGCGGUGAAUACGUUCCCGGGUCUUGUACACACCGCCCGUCAAGUCAUGAAAGUCGGUAACACCUGAAGCCGGUGGCCCAACCCUUGUGGAGGGAGCCGUCGAAGGUGGGAUCGGUAAUUAGGACUAAGUCGAACAAGUGCAGAAACG